UGGGGGUGCUGUCUGGCCCUAGGGCUCAGAACAGUCCCAGAUUCAGCUCAGAGUCUUUAUUCCUUUAGCUCGGCACUGCAAUCCCAGGGUAGUGCCUGGCUUGCUGUUGGCCUCCCGCAGCACUAUUUAGAGAAGAAAUUCCACUGGGACACCUGGUACUUUGCAGAGCAGACGAACAUUUCUGGACUUGCUGUGGGGAGAGGCAGGCUGAGGCUGGGGUGCCAGGAAACAGGCUCUCCUAGGUGGAUGCAGAUGUAAUGGACAAGGGCCGCAGGCCUGGUGAGGACCCCAGGCUGCCCGCCUGCUGGGGUCAGAGGAGGGGACAGAGCCAACGAGCCUCGCUCUGGCUUCUGCUGGUUGGCUGUGACUCCUGGUCUGCCUGGAUGGAGCCGGAGGGUAAGAAGAACAGGAAGAGAAAGGAAAGCAGCUGGAGGAUGCAGGAUGCCCGUCUGCUGUGUGGUGGAGGGGCCUGAGGAGGAAGGAGGCAUGCGGGCCCCCAGGCAAGAGGCUCAAUUAGGGUUCCCUGGCAUCCACAGGCCCGAGGAACAGCCAGUGCCUGUGGGAGGUCAGAAACCGACAGACUUGGAGCCAGUUGAAUCUGGGCUGAAGACCUGCUGCUCUGCGUCAAAUUGCCAACCUCCUUGAGUUCUGAGCAGAGAAGGCAAUGGCACCCCACUCCAGUACUCUUGCCUGGAAAAUCCCACGGACGGAGGAGCCUGGUAGGCUGCAGUCCAUGGGGUUGCGAAGAGUCAGACAUGACUGAGCGACUUCACUUUCACGCAUUGGAGAAGGAAAUGGAAACCUACUCCAGUGUUCUUGCCUUGAGAAUCCCAGGGAUGGCGGAGCCAGUGGGCUGCCGUCUAUGAGGUUGCACAGAGUUGGACACGACUGAAGCGACUUAGCAGCAGCAGCAGCAUGAGCUCUGAGGGUCACUCCACGGUUUUCACGCAUUGGAGAAGGAAAUGGAAACCUACUCCAGUGUUCUUGCCUUGAGAAUCCCAGGGAUGGCGGAGCCAGUGGGCUGCCGUCUAUGAGGUUGCACAGAGUUGGACACGACUGAAGCGACUUAGCAGCAGCAGCAGCAUGAGCUCUGAGUGUCACUCCACGGUAUAGGCGACCCUGCUGACCUUAAAGACUUAGAGUAAAGAUUCAACAAUGAAGCUCCAGCCCAGCUCCUAGCACAGAAGCCAGCACGAUGGCCGUGGUCCUGGGUUCCUGGGGUGCCUGCGGGCUGGCUCCCGCCAUCCACCUGCUCCUGGAGUUCACACACUCAGACCAAGAGGAAAACGAGGAAAGGAUGCAGGUUCUCCCACAGUGACAGAAGCCAGCGGCUGAGCCCAAAGUCCACACUGGGUCUCGACUUUCCCAAUCCACCCUACUUAAUCGAUGGGUUCACAAGCUUGGCCAGAGCAAUGCCAUCCUUCGCAGGGAUAUGAGGGGAGACAGAGGGGGAGAAGGUACUGGGCAUGUGUU
RNAcentral lists this long non-coding RNA (1473 nucleotides) under Bos mutus (wild yak). RNAcentral describes it as "lncRNA (ENSBMUG00000003134.1)". The record is from RNAcentral. Lineage: Eukaryota; Metazoa; Chordata; Mammalia; Artiodactyla; Bovidae.